GACGAACGCUGGCGGCGUGCCUAAUACAUGCAAGUAGAACGCACAGUUUAUACCGUAGCUUGCUACACCAUAAACUGUGAGUUGCGAACGGGUGAGUAACGCGUAGGUAACCUGCCUGGUAGCGGGGGAUAACUAUUGGAAACGAUAGCUAAUACCGCAUAAUAUUGAUUAUUGCAUGAUAAUUGAUUGAAAGAUGCUAUUGCAUCACUACCAGAUGGACCUGCGUUGUAUUAGCUAGUAGGUGAGGUAACGGCUCACCUAGGCGACGAUACAUAGCCGACCUGAGAGGGUGAUCGGCCACACUGGGACUGAGACACGGCCCAGACUCCUACGGGAGGCAGCAGUAGGGAAUCUUCGGCAAUGGACGAAAGUCUGACCGAGCAACGCCGCGUGAGUGAAGAAGGUUUUCGGAUCGUAAAGCUCUGUUGUAAGAGAAGAACGGGUGUGAGAGUGGAGAGUUCACACUGUGACGGUAUCUUACCAGAAAGGGACGGCUAACUACGUG
Molecule: ribosomal RNA, 505 nt
Filed under: uncultured bacterium
Lineage: Bacteria
Description: partial 16S ribosomal RNA
Rfam family: Bacterial small subunit ribosomal RNA
Source: RNAcentral